UACGAAGGGGGCAAGCGUUGUUUGGAAUUACUGGGCGUAAAGGGCGCGUAGGCGGCUUAUCAAGUCAGGCGUGAAAUUCCCGGGCUCAACCUGGGGGCUGCGCUUGAUACUGAUUGGCUUGAAUGCGGGAGAGGAUAGUGGAAUUCCCAGUGUAGAGGUGAAAUUCGUAGAUAUUGGGAAGAACACCGGUGGCGAAGGCGGCUAUCUGGCCCGUAAUUGACGCUGAGGCGCGAAAGCGUGGGGAGCAAACAGG
RNAcentral lists this ribosomal RNA (253 nucleotides) under uncultured bacterium. RNAcentral describes it as "partial 16S ribosomal RNA". It matches the Rfam family "Bacterial small subunit ribosomal RNA", at positions 524 to 776 of the family's 1533-position model. The record is from RNAcentral.